RNAcentral lists this ribosomal RNA (875 nucleotides) under Helotiales sp. RNAcentral's name for it is "SSU rRNA". It matches the Rfam family "Eukaryotic small subunit ribosomal RNA", at positions 61 to 946 of the family's 1831-position model. The record is from RNAcentral. Lineage: Eukaryota; Fungi; Ascomycota; Leotiomycetes; Helotiales.
UAGUAUAGCAAUCUAUACGGUGAAACUGCGAAUGGCUCAUUAAAUCAGUUAUCGUUUAUUUGAUAGUACCUUACUACUUGGAUAACCGUGGUAAUUCUAGAGCUAAUACAUGCUAAAAACCCCGACUUCGGAAGGGGUGUAUUUAUUAGAUAAAAAACCAAUGCCCUUCGGGGCUCCUUGGUGAUUCAUAAUAACUUAACGAAUCGCAUGGCCUUGUGCCGGCGAUGGUUCAUUCAAAUUUCUGCCCUAUCAACUUUCGAUGGUAGGAUAGUGGCCUACCAUGGUUUCAACGGGUAACGGGGAAUUAGGGUUCUAUUCCGGAGAGGGAGCCUGAGAAACGGCUACCACAUCCAAGGAAGGCAGCAGGCGCGCAAAUUACCCAAUCCCGACACGGGGAGGUAGUGACAAUAAAUACUGAUACAGGGCUCUUUUGGGUCUUGUAAUUGGAAUGAGUACAAUUUAAAUCCCUUAACGAGGAACAAUUGGAGGGCAAGUCUGGUGCCAGCAGCCGCGGUAAUUCCAGCUCCAAUAGCGUAUAUUAAAGUUGUUGCAGUUAAAAAGCUCGUAGUUGAACCUUGGGCCUGGUUGGCCGGUCCGCCUCACCGCGUGCACUGGUCCGACCGGGCCUUUCCUUCUAGGGAACCUCAUGCCUUUCAUUAGGUGUGUUGGGGAACUAGGACUUUUACUUUGAAAAAAUUAGAGUGUUCAAAGCAGGCCUAUGCUCGAAUACAUUAGCAUGGAAUAAUAGAAUAGGACGUGUGGUUCUAUUUUGUUGGUUUCUAGGACCGCCGUAAUGAUUAAUAGGGAUAGUCGGGGGCAUCAGUAUUCAAUUGUCAGAGGUGAAAUUCUUGGAUUUAUUGAAGACUAACUACUGC